UACGAAGGGGGCUAGCGUUGCUCGGAAUCACUGGGCGUAAAGGGCGCGUAGGCGGCCAUUCAAGUCGGGGGUGAAAGCCCAGGGCUCAACCCUGGAAUUGCCUUCGAUACUGGGAGUCUUGAGUUCGGAAGAGGUUGGUGGAACUGCGAGUGUAGAGGUGAAAUUCGUAGAUAUUCGCAAGAACACCAGUGGCGAAGGCGGCCAACUGGUCCGAAACUGACGCUGAGGCGCGAAAGCGUGGGGAGCAAACAGG
Molecule: ribosomal RNA, 253 nt
Filed under: uncultured bacterium
Lineage: Bacteria
Description: partial 16S ribosomal RNA
Rfam family: Bacterial small subunit ribosomal RNA
Source: RNAcentral